GUUUUAAAGAGCCAUGCUACAAUGAAAAGAACAGGAAGUAGUUUUUACUGGCAGAAAAAGCACCUAAUAUUAGAAAGCUGCUGCCAAUAAUCUGGCCUAGGAGUAAAGUUUCUGAAGGGAGAGAUAUUCUUAUUACGAAGUUUAGCAUGCUGCAGUCAAUGAUGAAAUAGAAUAGGGUAUUUAUAUACGGCAGAUACAGCACCUAAGAAUAAAGAAUAGCAAGCUGCUGCCUACAGAACCCUAAAAAAGAUGAAGAUUGAUUGAAUCUUUAUAGGCCAGGGCUUAGCCAUUUUAGAAACAGCAGCUAAGACCAGUAACGUGAUGCCUAUGUAUGAAUUCUUCUUCCGAGCGAGGAUGUUCAGCACUCCUUCCCUCCCACCACCAUCCUGGCAAAGGACCGGCACUGGAGUACCCAAAGAGAGGCGUCUCUAAUGGACCAGACAGAGUACAUCCUGUUUCAAGAGAUGUAUUCUGGAAGAGCGUCGAGUCAUGUAGGACCAUACAAGAGAAAAGAAUACAUCUUGUGUCAAGAGAUUUGCUGUGGAAGAGAAUGGAGUCCUGUAGGACCAUCGGAGAGAAAAGGUGAGAAAUUUGCAAUCUUGUUUGUUUUCUUUAUCUUUGAAAGUGACUGAGGUUAUUGGAAAGAUAUAAUGAGAGUCAGAAGACCAAGUAGUAGGCUAAAUGGCAGAGACAGCACCUAAGAUUAGCAAGCUGCUGCCAAUAACUAGUGGGCUUUUUAAAA
Aplysia californica (California sea hare) is the source of this 742-nucleotide long non-coding RNA. RefSeq lists it as uncharacterized. The transcript has 3 exons. The record is from RefSeq and is a predicted model, not a curated record. Lineage: Eukaryota; Metazoa; Mollusca; Gastropoda; Aplysiida; Aplysiidae.